GAUGAAGAACGCAGCGAAAUGCGAUAAGUAAUGUGAAUUGCAGAAUUCAGUGAAUCAUCGAAUCUUUGAACGCACAUUGCGCACUCUGGUAUUCCGGGGGGCAUGCCUGUUCGAGCGUCAUUAUAACCACUCAAGCUCUCGCUUGGUAUUGGAGUUCGCGAUCUCGCGGCUCCUAAAAUCAGUGGCGGUGCCUGUCGGCUCUACGCGUAGUAAUACUCCUCGCGAUUGAGUCCGGUAGGUUUACUUGCCAGCAACCCCCAAUUUUUACAGGUUGACCUCGGAUCAGGUAGGGAUACCCGCUGAACUUAAGCAUAUCAAUAAGCGGAGGA
RNAcentral lists this unclassified non-coding RNA (329 nucleotides) under soil metagenome. RNAcentral's name for it is "partial contains 5.8S ribosomal RNA, internal transcribed spacer 2, and large subunit ribosomal RNA". The stretch from base 1 to 120 matches the Rfam family "5.8S ribosomal RNA", at positions 35 to 154 of the family's 154-position model. The record is from RNAcentral.